RNAcentral lists this ribosomal RNA (1011 nucleotides) under Triticum aestivum (bread wheat). Its description in RNAcentral is "partial small subunit ribosomal RNA". Lineage: Eukaryota; Viridiplantae; Streptophyta; Magnoliopsida; Poales; Poaceae. The record is from RNAcentral.
AUGAACAUUGCCCUCCUGACUCGCUGGUUGUGGCGCAUUGCCAACGGAGAGGGGGGCCUCUGGCUCACCAUCAUCCAUAAUAAAUACCUUCGUGGACAACCUCUUGCCUUUCGCCAACGUACGGGUGGUUCUCAGUUCUGGCAGUCUGUGAUCCAUCUCCUGCCCGUACUACGCAUUGGCACCUCUGUAUCUGUUGGCUCCGGAGCCUCGGCCCUGUUUUGGUUCGACCGUUGGCUAGGGGACGCCCUCCUGGCGGUGCGUUUCCCUGAGCUAUUUGCCAUUGCAGUUGACCCUCGGGUCUCGGUCGAGACGACCCUUAUUGACUUAGGGCAUCUUGCCUUCCGGCGCCAGUUUGGUCCCCUUGAGGUGGCCGCCUGGGACUCCCUCCUCCAGGACAUUGCUCUUCUGCCGAUGGAGGUGGCGGAGGACCGGGAUGUUCUGUCCUGGCACGUCGAGCCCUCCGGACGUUUCUCCACGAAGUCCUUAUACGAUGCCAUUGCUCCCUCGUCGGCCCCGGAACCAUUUAGCCUGAUCUGGGAUAUCCGUCUCCCGCUGAAGAUCCGGAUCUUCCUAUGGCAAUGGAUCCGUGGCCGGCUCCCCUCUGGGGUUGAGGUCCUCAAGCGGAAUGGCCCGGGUGAUGGGAGGUGCCCCAUCUGUGGCACCGUUGAGGAUGCUAACCACAUCUUUUUCUCGUGCCACUCUGCCCAGUUCCUUUGGGCCUGCUUCCGCGAAACGGUUGGUGGACAGUGGUGUAAUACCAACUCCCCGACCUGCUUGCCGAGCUUAACGCCUGCCCUGCCCGCUACCGCCAUAUUAGAUGGCUGUGCGUGGGGGUUCUUGCCUGGACGCUUUGGAACAUCCGUAAUAAGCUUGUUAUUCAAAAGGUGCCCCUUCGUCGUGCGACUGACGCAAUCUUCAAACUGUGUGGCUACCUGCAGCUUUGGCGGCCGCUUAGCCGCCCCCAGGACCGGGACGUCAUCACCGCCCUCCUCUCCGAUCUCCGCUCGAUGA